This 1373-nucleotide ribosomal RNA is filed under the name uncultured bacterium. RNAcentral describes it as "bacterial SSU rRNA". It matches the Rfam family "Bacterial small subunit ribosomal RNA". The record is from RNAcentral.
AGAGUUUGAUCCUGGCUCAGGACGAACUCUGGCGGCGUGCCUAACACAUGCAAGUCGAACGGGGUAAUUUCUUCGGAGAUUACUUAGUGGCGAACGGGUGAGUAACGCGUGAGAAACCUGCCUUUCAGUGGGGGACAACAGUUGGAAACGACUGCUAAUACCGCAUAAUGUCAUUUGGGGGCAUCCCUGGAUGACCAAAGAUUUAUUGCUGAAAGAUGGUCUCGCGUCUGAUUAGCUUGUUGGCGGGGUAACGGCCCACCAAGGCGACGAUCAGUAGCCGGUCUGAGAGGAUGAACGGCCACAUUGGGACUGAGAUACGGCCCAGACUCCUACGGGAGGCAGCAGUGGGGAAUAUUGGGCAAUGGGGGAAACCCUGACCCAGCAACGCCGCGUGAAGGAAGAAGGCCUUCGGGUUGUAAACUUCUUUUACCAGGGACGAACACAAUGACGGUACCUGGAGAAAAAGCAACGGCUAACUACGUGCCAGCAGCCGCGGUAAUACGUAGGUUGCAAGCGUUGUCCGGAUUUACUGGGUGUAAAGGGCGUGUAGGCGGAGAUGCAAGUUGGGAGUGAAAUCCCGGGGCUCAACCCCGGAACUGCUUUCAAAACUGCAUCCCUUGAGUAUCGGAGAGGCAAGCGGAAUUCCUAGUGUAGCGGUGAAAUGCGUAGAUAUUAGGAGGAACACCAGUGGCGAAGGCGGCUUGCUGGACGACAACUGACGCUGAGGCGCGAAAGCGUGGGGAGCAAACAGGAUUAGAUACCCUGGUAGUCCACGCUGUAAACGAUGAAUACUAGGUGUGGGAAGGACGAACCUUUUCCGUGCCCCAAUUUAAACAAUAAAUUAUUCCCCCUGGGGAAUACCACCCCCAGGUUGAAACUCAAAGGAAUUGACGGGGGCCCGCACAAGCAGUGGAUUAUGUGGUUUAAUUCGACGCAACGCGAAGAACCUUACCAGGAUUUGACAUCCUACUAACGAAGCAGAGAUGCAUUAGGUGCCCUUCGGGGAAAGUAGAGACAGGUGGUGCAUGGUUGUCGUCAGCUCGUGUCGUGAGAUGUUGGGUUAAGUCCCGCAACGAGCGCAACCCCUAUUGUUAGUUGCUACGCAAGAGCACUCUAGCGAGACUGCCGUUGACAAAACGGAGGAAGGCGGGGACGACGUCAAAUCAUCAUGCCCCUUAUGUCCUGGGCUACACACGUAAUACAAUGGUGGUUAACAGAGGGAAGCAAUACAGCGAUGUGGAGCAAAUCCCUAAAAGCCAUCUCAGUUCGGAUUGCAGGCUGCAACUCGCCUGCAUGAAGCUGGAAUUGCUAGUAAUCGCGGAUCAGCAUGCCGCGGUGAAUACGUUCCCGGGCCUUGCACUCACCGCCCGUCA